UCUUUUCUAGUCUUAGUGUCUGUUGCUCCCUUCACUCUUUUCUUUUUAACAAUUGUGCCAUAUGUAUGUUGUUCUUACGUUUCAAAAAGAAAAAAAUGUUGUUCUUGCAAUAUUGCUUUGAGCUAUGAUAUCUGUUGAGAGAAGCUACUGUGAUUUGUGACAAGAGGUCUUGUGAAAAAGCUAUUGUUUUGCUAAAUGUGCGUAGAGAUAUGCUCAUGUUUUUGUUGCUUUUUAGGUGACCUUUGCCUCACCUUUGUUUGCAAGUCAACUUGGACGUUUUCAAGACGAAGGAAAUAAGGAUUGCCUUUUUGGUUGGAGCUGGUCUUCGGGUAAAGGGGAAGAGUUCCCAUGCACCUUUGCAGACAGACGGACCUGCCAAGAAAUGUGGACUUUCGACGUGUUUAUUAGGUAAUUCAUUAAGAACUCAAAGAGGUUUGUUGGCUGGUUUCGAAGCUUCGGAUUCAACUACAGUAAUCAUUUUAGGUAGUUUAAUCCAAACUGCCCAAAGUUUAUUUAUUGAUCAAACUUUGGUUUAUACAUUACUUUGAAUGUAAUAAUUAUCUUUACUAAGAAGUUGAGCAUUAGCUUAUAAUGUGAAAGAUUUACCUCA
Long non-coding RNA from Magnolia sinica, 610 nucleotides. RefSeq lists it as uncharacterized. The record is from RefSeq and is a predicted model, not a curated record. Lineage: Eukaryota; Viridiplantae; Streptophyta; Magnoliopsida; Magnoliales; Magnoliaceae. The transcript has 3 exons.